RNAcentral lists this ribosomal RNA (102 nucleotides) under Escherichia coli. RNAcentral describes it as "partial 23S ribosomal RNA". The stretch from base 1 to 84 matches the Rfam family "Bacterial large subunit ribosomal RNA", at positions 2842 to 2925 of the family's 2925-position model. Lineage: Bacteria; Pseudomonadati; Pseudomonadota; Gammaproteobacteria; Enterobacterales; Enterobacteriaceae. The record is from RNAcentral.
AGACGACGACGUUGAUAGGCCGGGUGUGUAAGCGCAGCGAUGCGUUGAGCUAACCGGUACUAAGUAACCGGGAGGCUUAACCUUACAACGCCGAAGGUGUUU